This 224-nucleotide unclassified non-coding RNA is filed under the name soil metagenome. Its description in RNAcentral is "partial contains small subunit ribosomal RNA, internal transcribed spacer 1, and 5.8S ribosomal RNA". The record is from RNAcentral.
UUUCCGUAGGUGAACCUGCAGAAGGAUCAUUAACACUACAAGCUUUCAAACUUGUAUCUACCCCUUGGGUGCCGUUGCCACAGUGUCACUUUAUUUGCUUCACUUCUUUUAAACUUUUUUCUUUUAUACCCUGUUCAACCAACUGACUGAAUCUAAUUGCCUUGACUGGCAAACAGAAAGCACAAAUAUCUGUACAACUCUUAGCAACGGAUAUCUUGGCUCUC